RNAcentral lists this ribosomal RNA (811 nucleotides) under uncultured archaeon. Its description in RNAcentral is "bacterial SSU rRNA". It matches the Rfam family "Archaeal small subunit ribosomal RNA", at positions 85 to 879 of the family's 1478-position model. The record is from RNAcentral.
ACGGCUCAGUAACACGUGGCUAAUCUGCCCUUAGGACGAGAACACCCCCGGGAAACUGGGGCUAAUUCUCAAUAGGCGAAGAACUCCGGAAUGAGUCUUCACCAAAAAGAAACCUAAGUUAUGCUCUUAGGUCUCGCCCAAGGAUGGGGCCGCGACCGAUCAGGUUGUUGGUGAGGUAAUGGCUCACCAAGCCUUUUACCGGUGCGGGCCGUGGGAGCGGGAGCCCGGAGAUGGGCACUGAGACAAGGGCCCAGGCCCUACGGGGCGCAGCAGUCGCGAAAACUUUGCAAUAAGCGAAAGCUUGGCAGGGCUAUCCCGAGUGCCAUCCGCUGAGGAAGGCUUUUACCCAGUCUAGAACGCUGGGGGAAUAAGGAGAGGGCAAGUCUGGUGUCAGCCGCCGCGGUAAUACCAGCUCUCCGAGUGGUGUGGAUGUUUAUUGGGCCUAAAGCAUCCGUAGCUGGCUAAGUUAGUCCCCUGUUAAAUCCACCGAAUUAAUCGUUGGAUUGCGGGGGAUACUGCUUGGCUAGGGGACGAGAGAGGCAGACGGUAUUUUCGGGGUAGGGGUGAAAUCCUAUAAUCCCGGGAAGACCACCAGUGGCGAAGGCUGUCUGCUAGAACGCGCCCGACGGUGAGGGAUGAAAGCUGGGGGAGCGAACCGGAUUAGAUACCCGGGUAGUCCCAGCUGUAAACGAUGCAGGCUAGGUGUUUGGACGGCCACGUGCCGUUCUAGUGCCGCAGGGAAGCUGUUAAGCCUGCCGCCUGGGGAGUACGACCGCAAGAUUGAAACUUAAAGGAAUUGGCGGGGGAGCAC